CCAUAGGAGGUCACUCUCACACAUAUCAAUAUUUGAUUUAAGUGCUAAAUGGGUGAGUGGCUAAGUAACUAUGAUGCUAAAAUUUAAAUCACAAAGAUAUCGAUUUACUAACUUUGAUGCUUGACUUGUUUCUCUGGAAUAUUUUUGCAGAGGCGUUGUUGCUUGGGGUAUUAUUGGUAAGGCCACCAUCAAAUAUAUGUUAAUUUCGCGUCCUGACGACCAUGCAAAAAUGAGCUGUCCCGUCCGUAACUUAAAAAAAAAAGGAAAUUAAUUUUCGGAAGUUUUUGUCAAUUUUUGUCAAUUUUGCAUAAAUUAGUUCUAGCGAAAAAAAAUUUCUUUUUGAAAAAUAUCUUGCAAAAUUCGGGUUUUUAUUACCAAAAGUGAGUCGGUCAGAGGACGCGAACACAACAUAUUUUUAAUGACGGUCUAAUCUUCAAGUGUAGUGGAGUUCCGUGAGUAUCUAGUUGUGAGUUGCGGAGUUAGUGAAUUGUCUCAUUUUACGGAAAACGAUUGCCAGGAAAAUAUCUUCGAUUACCGUGGACAUGAGACAUUUCUUUUCGUUUUUUUUUUUCAAGGUUUUCGUCUGUAAACGUCCAGAAAAGCCUGGGCCAGUCUAAAAUCGCCCGAAUUGAACCUGAAACGCAACACGCACGAGCUCAUUUUGAAAUUUUGUGUGAAAAGCCGCAAGUUGUCUGAUAGCCAGUGAUUUUUGCCGUUUCUGGCGAGUCAGCACCCUCGCCCGUGGACAAGUGCAUGUAGCCUCUACUGAUGGCGUUUUUUUGUAGUCAGACAUGUAACAAUUUUACUUGGAAACAGAACAGAAAUGGGAAAAAUAAAACUCUUGUUUUCCUAAAUAGAGUUUUUAAAUUGGCUGAAAAUCUUUUUUAUCAUUCGCAAUAAUGCAUGAUUCGGAAGGGAACAAAGUUCAAAAUUUAAAUUCAAUAUAAAUCAUGCUAAAGUGAGUUUGCACCACAAAUCAAAAUUUUACCCCCCCCCCUCUGGGAAAUUAAUAAAAAGAUUGUAUAUUUUUUUUUCUUUGUGAAGCUGAAUAAGAAUAAAAGCAACGUUUUAAUUUUGCUAGGGGAUUGGUUCAUGUUAAUGUUAUGAUGCACUUUCUUAUGCUUGAAAUCGUACCACACAAACUUUUCAGGGUGUGGUAGUUUAGGGUAUAAAAACCGAUGUUUGAUUUUGAACUUAUUUUGAAUUAUAAACAAUUUAUACAAUUUCUUCGUUCAAAACACCGAAGUAUACAGCAUCAGCUCCGAUGAUGAUAAGCAAUGCAAUCAGGUGAGGCUUUUUUAAAUCCAUUGCUUUGCUGAUAUUUUCUGAACACUUUACAUUUUGUAACCCAGAUUCCUUUGUCUUCUCUUUGUCUUAGACAAUCGAAAUAACCUCCAGUGCAACAUCAAUUAGCAAUAGCUCUAGUGUAAUUAAAGUUAAAUCAAUGAGGACUCUGAAAACACCAAACGACCUAAGAGAAGAAAGUUAAAUUUUGACAGUAGUUAUCACAAUCAAAGUAGUUCAGAUGACAGCAUUUUGCAGAAACCUCCUUUCGACUUCAAAGAAGAACACACAGAGAGUGACAGAUCAAGCUCCUCCAUAUCAGAUAUUGAUCACAACAUACUACUGACAGAUCUAGUAACUUCUUCAGAGAAAAAGUUUUUUCCUCUUUUUUAUCUAGAAAAAAAUAUUUGGAACCAAAUUGUUCAUACCAAUGGAGAAUUUGAGCAGUAAGGAAAUAAAAUAUAAAUAGGACAUAAAAAAAAAGAUCUUACUGGAGUUCGACGAUUAGCAUCUUGGAAAGGUGGGUUUGUGUGUGACAAUACGAACUGCUCAUUCCUUAAGGAAUAUGGAAAAGCAAACAAUUUUUGUUAGGCCUCAAUUGGGAAUUUCGAUAAGGGUCUCCUGCAGGCCCCCUGGUGGCGUCUGAAGGGAAAAUUUUAAAAUUCCAUGUUCUCAGAUGCCUGGAAACGGCCUUUCCCAGUGCAAUUUCUUCUAAAACAUUGGUCGAAGACUUCGUGUUUUUUACUCACAUGCUACCAUCUUAACUUUGCGUAAAAUGCUAAUCUAAGGUUAACGACAAAAGAAUAAAUAAAUAAAAACAAUGUUUACAAUAUUUUUCGAUUUAACAUAGCUUUUCACUACACCUAACUCACUUUCGCUACAUCAACAAAUUCUACUUAUUUCACAUUUCAAAUAGAACGUGUUCUUUCAAACUUUUUGGAUAAUCAAAACACGGCAAAGAAGGCAGACAGCGACAAGCCUGAAAAGCUCGCAAGCUUUGUAAAAAUAAAAAUUUCCAAAAUAUUGAUAGCCUAAAAGAGUGAAUAGUGUAGUGUUGGUGUUUCCUAGCAUUUAUCAACAUCAGAAUUUUCAAAUUAUACAUGCUUUUCAUGAACAUUGUAGCUUUUUUAAAAUCUUCCAUUGGGAAAAAGUAGGCUACUUUCAAUUGGAAAGAGGCCAUUACCGGCCUCUAUUUAAGCUAAGUAACACCCUGAACAACCAGCUCAACCUGUGAAAUGUUAAGCAAGGAAGAUUCAGGAAUUUGAUGUGGUGCUUAAGUUGUUAAAAUAUAUCAUUAUGGAAAACCAGAGCAAAAAAAAAAAAAGAAAAGGAAAUGAUGGUGAUCAAUCAAUUCAAAAAAAAAACAAGUAGUUGAAACCAAGUCAAGUACCCAGUGUUAACAUCAACAAAGCUGUGCAAAAUGGAAAUUGGAAAGAAGUAAAAAGGUUAAGUGAGGCACUAUGUGACACACAGCACACCAGAAACUUAAAAAAGAAGACCUUAAGAGAGGUAUAUAUUGUAACAAGUACUGUUCAUCCACAUACUUAUGUAUUGUGUGUUAGAAGAUAAACAUAUCACUGGUCUUAUUGCCUUUGUCUAAAUAAGUUAUUAUUUCAAUAGGUAUGAACACUUAGACAUAGCUUCGAUGCACUGGGUAUGUUAAAGGAGACCACAGAUUCCAUGGACCAGUUUCUUAUUUAUGAAGUAAAUGACAGACGUCUAAAUGGCAAUCAGUCAUUUGUCUUCAAAACAAGCAAAUUUAAAUUGGAGCUAGUAGAUCAAAUGAAUAAACUGGGGGAUCACAUGUUCUCAAGAAGUAUGGUCACAUCAAUGGCAAAAUCAACAGAUGUCCUGGCUCUUCUACAAUCACCCUUUCCUUAUAUCACCAUAUCCUGCAAACACAAUCCCAAUGCUUAUAAUUUCAAGGACCUGUGUCAUCAGUGGUUGGAGGUCAACACUAUCAGUAGAUAUCAAACAGUAAAAGGUUAUUUUAUUGAAUUUUAUUAGAAAAGCAGAGUCAAAAAAAAAUCUCCAUUACUUUGUAAACUGGUGGGACAGCAAACGUAUAUACACUUGUCAAGAGCAUACAAAACUGAUAUGUUCACUCCCAGACUUAAUCAAGCUGAAUCAAUCAAUGCAUCAUUUAAACAUUGUGGGAGUGGGAAGGUUAGUCUUCUUACAGCAGCUAAAGAUGACACAACAAACAGUAUUUUCAUCGAAACUCUUUGGCGAAAAUACUCUGAUGGUACAGCAACCUCAACAAUUAGAUUAACUCAAAGACAGCAUGCCAGGCAAAAACAUGAUGCAACAUUGAUGUGUGCUGAAAUUGGACAACUAUUAGAAAAUCCAUCCAAUCUGGAGUCAAUGGAAAGUCCAACCACUCAAGAAAUGUUUACAAUCAAUGAAUAUUGGAAACAUGCAGACCUUUGACAAACAAAGAGAAGAAAAAGUCAAGAAGAAAUAUCAUAGGAGAAGAAACACCAUUAACAUUAGGAACACCAUACAGAAUCAGGGGCAAAGCAAAACAAGACAUUUAAACGUUCCCUGGAAAAAGCAAAAAAAAAAAAAAAAAGGCAAAUUUUUUGUUCCAAGAUUCAAGACAGAUGCCGCCAUAAAUAUUACAGUGAAAUCUAAGAAAUUGACAUAUGCCACAAAAGAAUUAAAAAUGACUGUUGUGAAUACCUACGAUAUGGCCUACUUGCUACUGUGGAUUUAGCAUCAGCAACAAAACUGACAUCUGCAAGCACAUCAUUUGGGUUUUGCUGAACAUGUUCAGCUUCCACAAAAGCAACAAAAUUAUAUAUUAAAAAGGAUAUAUAUACACAAAAAGAGUUUCAAGUAAUGAGAGGGAUGUUUGUUGGACAUAUCCCACAUCAUUUAUAUUAUAUUCUUGCAAAAUUAAAAAACAAACAACAUAUAUUUAUACAUAUGGCUAGCUUUCUUUUUUACACAACUAUGUAUAUAUACAUACAUAUAAGCAUUAAAACUUAUUAAAACUAAUUUCUGCACAUAAUUCAUUUUCCUUUUUGCGUAUUUGUAAAAUGCUUCAGGGUCUUUUUUAAUGUUUUUCGUUAAUUUUUGUUCAACUGAUCUUUUGGCAUGUUUUACUUCUUUAGUAGCUGUGUUCAGUGCUCUUUUAUAUUUAACACAGUAUUGAUAAUCUCUGGAAUUGCUAUAGACCCUUCACCAGCGUAUUUUUCUUUUUCUUGCUUGAUAUGCUUUAGAAGUUUGUCCAAAGACUUUCUCUUUUUCUUGGGUAUACACACAAUUUCACAGCUUCUUCUAUUUUCAACUUAAUGGUAUCCCAUAUUUUGUCUACGGAUUUCUAAUAAAAGAGAUGGGGUAUAUAUUAGCAUGUUUAUAGCAUUAUAUAUAUUUUACUGAUGAUUAAGUUUUGGGUAAAGAAUUAAUGGCCCAUAUAGCUUGUCAGGGUAAGUUUCUGAAAAAAGGCUUUAUGGUUUCUCAAAAACAAAGUUGUUAAAGAAGUUUCCCGUCCUUUUGUUUCGUCUAGUAAUAAAGCUUGCGGCUAAAGUAGUCACGAUGGAAAACCUGAGAAUUGUGGUGCAGUACACUUAGUCUUAUUUAUACAGUUUUCCGAUGGUUGACAAAAGUGCAAGGAAAGAAUUAUACCAAUUGUAGAUAAAUUACAAAAAAUAAAGAAGAAAAUACAAGGCGCAAAAACUAUUGAUUUACUUCACAAAACUUCCUCUAAAAUUUGAUAAUGAAAAUUACAAAAUCACAGGGAAUAGAAUACUUCUAACUAACACAAUUAAAGGUUUAUUUGGAGCUGAUGUGGCAUAUCAUUAGGAUUGUUAUAGGAAUUUCAGGAGCACUUUGUGGCAUGCAAGUACUCAAAAAUUUAUUCUGUGAUUAAUUCUGAAACAUCCGUUGUGAAGAAGUUAUUUUACACUCCUUCAUGCAUCAUGUUAUUGACGCUUUUCCUAAUCGAAUUUUAAAAUCAAUUCUGAACAUUUUAGAGGUAUAUAGAUCUAAUGUAUACGUAGAAAAUUUAUUAAGGGCAUUAAAAUGCAAUCAAGGUGGUAAACGAUGUUGAACUUAUGUUGCAGAGCUGGAAGAAUAUACAUUUAUAAUGGUUUUUUUUGUAGUCACAAGGAGUAUAUUAUUCUUGUGAAUAAUUAAAUUUUAUGGCCUUUCCAUGGAGCCUAAAUUUUACUGUAUAAAUGCCUUAACUUUUGGGUAAACGAUGAAGCGAGGGAUCCAUUGCAUUACAAGGCACAGACUAAGCCAAAUAGCUUUUCUAAAACUAGUAAAAACAAACAGCUUGUCUUGUGUGUCAGACAUCAUUAAAUCAAGUUUUAUGACAUAUUCAAGCACCUAAGUUAUAUGCCAGUAAGGCAUUUUUGCUCUAUUUAACAUCAGUGGUAACUGCUCUAGUAACGUUUUAAACAAAUCGAAAUGAACAUCGCAAAGAGUGCAAGAUAAUAACUGUAAAAAUGGGUCAAGUGUACCGUCUUCACUGUUAAAACAUAAUCCCUGUUAGCGGGCAGAAUAUCGAAAUAAUAAGAAACAAAACAAAAAUGGAGGUGACCCUUUUAUGUUUGUUUAUUUCAAGCGUUUUCAGUAAGAUUUCUAAAGAAGCGUAGCUGAAAGCAUAUGUCAGUUAUCUUAAGUGUUGUUUAUGUUCUCCAUUGCUUAACCUUUCAUAAUACUUGGCAUUUGCUAUCAGUGGCCUAAAUUAUUUAUUUUGCAUGAAUGUGUGGACGUAAAAGCAAGUCUCUGCUUAUGGUAUAUACCUUAAAUCCAAAUUAAUUUUUGCACAUACUUUUUGUUAUUUUUGGAGGGAAUUUGAACUUGUGUAAAAAUUAAUAUGCCAAAAUAGAUUUUUGUUCACAACGUUAUGAAUGCAUUAUUAUAAAUAAGGUGUGUAGAUAAAAUUGUUGAAAUUUAUACUGUUAGUCAAUUACUUGUGAAUGUUUAUAUGCAUAACUUUCAAGAGUAGUCAAUUUAUUUUGAAGUUUAUAUACAGAUAUAAAUAAACAAAUACAAAUAAGAUUGACUAUAGGUGCAAUUGAGAUGUUGUUUCAUGUUUUUUUAUCG
Long non-coding RNA from Hydractinia symbiolongicarpus, 6342 nucleotides. RefSeq lists it as uncharacterized. The record is from RefSeq and is a predicted model, not a curated record. The transcript is spliced from 4 exons. NCBI's taxonomy places the organism in Eukaryota, Metazoa, Cnidaria, Hydrozoa, Anthoathecata, Hydractiniidae.